CCUGGCUCGUUAUGAGGCUAGCUACAGGCUUAACACAUGCAAGUCGACCUUCAGCAUGGUCUUAGCUUGCUAAGGCCGAUGGCGACCGGCGCACGGGUGAGUAACGCGUAUCCAACCUGCCUUACACUCUUGGACAGCCUUCUGAAAGGGAGAUUAAUACAAGAUGUUAUCAUGAGUAAGCAUUUUCGCAUGAUUAAAGGUUUACCGGUGUAAGAUGGGGAUGCGUUCCAUUAGAUAGUAGGCGGGGUAACGGCCCACCUAGUCUUCGAUGGAUAGGGGUUCUGAGAGGAAGGUCCCCCACAUUGGAACUGAGACACGGUCCAAACUCCUACGGGAGGCAGCAGUGAGGAAUAUUGGUCAAUGGACGAGAGUCUGAACCAGCCAAGUAGCGUGAAGGAUGAAGGUUCUAUGGAUUGUAAACUUCUUUUAUACGGGAAUAAACGAAUCCACGUGUGGAUUUUUGCAUGUACCGUAUGAAUAAGGAUCGGCUAACUCCGUGCCAGCAGCCGCGGUAAUACGGAGGAUCCGAGCGUUAUCCGGAUUUAUUGGGUUUAAAGGGAGCGUAGAUGGGUUGUUAAGUCAGUUGUGAAAGUUUGCGGCUCAACCGUAAAAUUGCAAUUGAUACUGGCAGUCUUGAGUACAGUUGAGGUAGGCGGAAUUCGUGGUGUAGCGGUGAAAUGCUUAGAUAUCACGAAGAACUCCGAUUGCGAAGGCAGCUUACUAACCUGUAACUGACAUUGAUGCUCGAAAGUGUGGGUAUCAAACAGGAUUAGAUACCCUGGUAGUCCACACGGUAAACGAUGAAUACUCGCUGUAGGCGAUAUACAGUCUGCGGCCAAGCGAAAGCAUUAAGUAUUCCACCUGGGGAGUACGCCGGCAACGGUGAAACUCAAAGGAAUUGACGGGGGCCCGCACAAGCGGAGGAACAUGUGGUUUAAUUCGAUGAUACGCGAGGAACCUUACCCGGGCUUAAAUUGCAACCGAAUAUGGCGGAAACGCUAUAGCUAGCAAUAGCGGUUGUGAAGGUGCUGCAUGGUUGUCGUCAGCUCGUGCCGUGAGGUGUCGGCUUAAGUGCCAUAACGAGCGCAACCCUUGCCGAUAGUUACUAACAGGUUAUGCUGAGGACUCUGUCGGGACUGCCAUCGUAAGAUGUGAGGAAGGUGGGGAUGACGUCAAAUCAGCACGGCCCUUACGUCCGGGGCUACACACGUGUUACAAUGGGGGGUACAGAGGGCUGCUACCACGCAAGUGGAUGCCAAUCCCAAAAACCUCUCUCAGUUCGGAUUGAAGUCUGCAACCCGACUUCAUGAAGCUGGAUUCGCUAGUAAUCGCGCAUCAGCCAUGGCGCGGUGAAUACGUUCCCGGGCCUUGUACACAAGGGCCG
RNAcentral lists this ribosomal RNA (1384 nucleotides) under uncultured bacterium. RNAcentral's name for it is "bacterial SSU rRNA". It matches the Rfam family "Bacterial small subunit ribosomal RNA", at positions 18 to 1396 of the family's 1533-position model. The record is from RNAcentral.